AUGGAGAUCCUUGUUAUGUUUCAUCAGGUAACGUCAGUUUGUCGGUGUCUGUCAGCAAGAACUCGACUCUGCUGGUUGACUGGAACAGCGGGAGCAAACAGACGACCCAAUGUGCUCUGCUCGUCUCAACCGAAGGAAGACAGGAGAUCCAGAUACACCUUUUACCAUGGGCCUGUCUCUGCACCACCUCUGGUCCUGAUGUCAGAUACUCAGAGCUCUGCCAGUUACAUCAGCAUGAAAUGGUUGAGCAGCGGUGUGUUUGGAAUGACUUUAGCAACAUUUGUCAUUUUUCUAAUCUACAUUAUAUACAGAAGAUGGACGGGGAACGGCGUCUUCCAACUGCGUCUGAGAUAA
Molecule: long non-coding RNA, 354 nt
Organism: Cyprinus carpio (common carp)
Lineage: Eukaryota; Metazoa; Chordata; Actinopteri; Cypriniformes; Cyprinidae
Source: Ensembl